This 1527-nucleotide ribosomal RNA is filed under the name uncultured eukaryote. RNAcentral's name for it is "SSU rRNA". It matches the Rfam family "Eukaryotic small subunit ribosomal RNA", at positions 570 to 1831 of the family's 1831-position model. The record is from RNAcentral.
GAAUUCGGCUUCGGUAAUUCCAGCUCCAAGGGCGUAUACUAAUGUUGUUGCUGUUAAAAAGCUCGUAGUUGGACUUGGAUCUGUUCUGUGCUAGCCAUCAUUGGAGUCUCUGGAUCCACGUGGUUACUGGCUGCUUUGAUCCGUGUUUGGCACAAUUGGAUUAGAUCUUUUUCACUGGUUGACUCUGUCUGUGUGAUGGCCUCUUCACUGAGUCCAGAUCGAAUGGAGCCUCUUGGUUCGACUCUGGGGCUGCUCGCAGCCCGAGCGUGGUUCGUAAUGCUUCUCACGCAGUGUGCAUUUGCAUAAGGACAGUUGAUCGUGAUAUCGAGAACAAAACAGCGUGCUUAAGGCUGGAUCAGUAGAUGACAAAGCUUGCUAUAUCAAUGAACCGACCGGUUAUGUGCGGUUUGCAGGUUUCUGCAUGUAAUAGCGGGGAGUCUGAGCUUGUUGGCGUUGGGAAUGUACCCAUCGGCUCACCUCGGUGACCGUGGGACCACAGACCCAAUCAGCUACUCGUUUCAACGAUAUUAACAGGGACCGAUGGAGCAGUCCGUAUUGUCAGACGAGGGGUGAAAUCCUUAGACUCUGACAAGACGAACAAGGGCGAAAGCACUCUGCUAAGAGGCCUUCAUUAAUCAAGAACGAGAGUGCAGGGAUCGAAGAUGAUCAGAUACCGUCGUAGUCUGCUACUGUAAACGAUGCAAACUAGGGAUCAGUUGAUGGGACAACAUGAUUCUGUUGACUCGGUUGGUACCUCCGCUUCUCUCUUAACGCGAAAGCUGCAAGUCUUCGUGUUCAGGGGGGAGUACAGUUGCAAGGCUGAAACUUAAAGGAAUUGACGGAAUGACACCACAAGGCGUGGAUGCUGCGGCUUAAUUUGACUCAACACAGAGAAUGUUACCAGAUCAUGAGGUUUGGAGGAUUGACAGAUUGGCAGUUCUUUCUUGAUUCAGUUAAUGGUGGUGCAUGGCCGCUCCUGGUUGGUGGAGUGAUUUGUCUGGUUGAUUCCGUUAACGAACGAGAUCCCACCCCUUCGAUUUCAGUUAUAUCGUACGUAAUCAUUGGACGCUAGCUCAUGUGGUUCGUCCGUUGGUGAGAUCUAAGAUGUAUGCAAGGGGACUAUGUGUGUUGAUAACACAUUGAAGUCUGGGCCAAUAGCAGGUCUGUGAUGCUCCUAGAUGUUCUGGGCUGCACGCGGCAUACAAUGGUGAAAGCAGUAGGAUUGGUUCGGUCGAGCUCCUGUUUCGAAAGUAUUGGGAAAUCCCCUCAGAUUUGACUGUGGCUGGGAUAGACAAUUGCAACUGUUUGUCUUGAACUAGGAAUGCCUUGUAAGCACAUCUCAUUACAGUGUAUUGAAUGCGUCCCUGCCGUUUGUACACACCGCCCGUCGUUGCAAUCGAUUGGUUUGAUCGUAGAGUACUUCUGGAGAGACACCAGCAGGCUCUCUCGAGUCUGAUGAUUGGGUUGAAGUUGGGCAAUACUGUGGAACUAGAGAAUGCAAAAGUCGUAACAAGGUAAGCCGAAUUC